CGAUCACAUACUCGAGGAAGUCAUCGUGGUUGGCAUCGUCCCCGGCGGUGCUGCUGUAGUGCACGGUGAUCCUCCGAAAGGCGCCAGGCGGCCCGACGGUGGCCAUGGCCGCCGGCGUCAGGCAGCAACCACCGGGCAUUGAACACUCUGCUUCCAGUUCUGGACCGUGCCCUCGCGCCGUGCACAAUCAAGUUUCUCUUCUUCCUUUUUCGAGAUCCAGCGGACCGUCUUGCAUACCAUGCGUGACCAGGAACCGGCCACGCUGGAUCUCGACAUCUCGACGUCGAGAAAAUCUUAGUGGCCGUCUUUUGAGAAGAUUGCGCGCCACGGAAGAGGCCAAAGACUUGGGGUCAAGUCAACCAGGUGAGCAAUGAAGGAUGCCAAGCUGAUUCAGCGCAUUGUGUUGUUAAUUCAGUUUGACAGGGACAAGAAGGCAUUGUACCGUACCUAUUUUGUGUUAGUUGGUGGGGAUAACUUUUUGUCUGCCUAGUUGGAUAUGGUUUUGGCUUAGCUUAGCUCUGUUCUUGAGGAUGGGGUGGUAACUUUCUCAGGUUAAUCUGUGUAGCUCGCUCACCAAGAGUACUGUGCCUCAGAAAAUAAAUUCCUAAUUGCAAAAAUGAUCUGAAUGAAAGGAAAUGUUA
Molecule: long non-coding RNA, 641 nt
Organism: Triticum aestivum (bread wheat)
Lineage: Eukaryota; Viridiplantae; Streptophyta; Magnoliopsida; Poales; Poaceae
Exons: 3
Source: RefSeq, a predicted model, not a curated record